UACGUAGGGAGCAAGCGUUGUCCGGAAUCAUUGGGCGUAAAGAGCGUGUAGGCGGCCCGGUAAGUCGGUUGUGAAAGUCAAGGGCUCAACCCUUGAAUGCCGACCGAUACUGUCGGGCUAGAGUCCGGAAGAGGCGAGUGGAAUUCCUGGUGUAGCGGUGAAAUGCGCAGAUAUCAGGAGGAACACCGAUGGCGAAGGCAGCUCGCUGGGACGGUACUGACGCUGAGGAGCGAAAGCGUGGGGAGCAAACAGG
This 253-nucleotide ribosomal RNA is filed under the name uncultured bacterium. RNAcentral describes it as "partial 16S ribosomal RNA". It matches the Rfam family "Bacterial small subunit ribosomal RNA", at positions 524 to 776 of the family's 1533-position model. The record is from RNAcentral.